This 253-nucleotide ribosomal RNA is filed under the name uncultured bacterium. RNAcentral's name for it is "partial 16S ribosomal RNA". It matches the Rfam family "Bacterial small subunit ribosomal RNA", at positions 524 to 776 of the family's 1533-position model. The record is from RNAcentral.
UACGUAGGGGGCAAGCGUUGUCCGGAAUCAUUGGGCGUAAAGAGCGUGUAGGCGGCCAGAUAAGUCCGCUGUGAAAUCUCGAGGCUCAACUUCGAGCUGUCGGUGGAAACUGUCUGGCUAGAGUCCGGAAGAGGAGAAUGGAAUUCCUGGUGUAGCGGUGAAAUGCGCAGAUAUCAGGAAGAACACCCGUGGCGAAGGCGGGUCUCUGGGCCGUAACUGACGCUGAGGAGCGAAAGCGUGGGGAGCGAACAGG